CGCUGGCGGCGUGCUUAACACAUGCAAGUCGUACGAACGGCGGAGGGCUUGCUCUCCAACGUUAGUGGCGAACGGGUGCGUAACACGUGAGCAACCUGCCCUUUGGCGGGGGAUAGCCGGCCUAACGGCCGGGUAAUACCGCGUAUUGCAUCACUGUCGCAUGGCGGUGAUGUGAAAGCCUUCGGGCACCAGAGGAGGGGCUCGCGGCCUAUCAGCUUGUUGGUGGGGUAACGGCCUACCAAGGCUACGACGGGUAGCUGGUCUGAGAGGAUGAUCAGCCACAUUGGGACUGAGAUACGGCCCAGACUCCUACGGGAGGCAGCAGUGGGGAAUAUUGCGCAAUGGCCGCAAGGCUGACGCAGCGACGCCGUGUGUGGGAUGAAGGCCCUCGGGUUGUAAACCACUGUCAGGAGGGACGAACGCUC
This 425-nucleotide ribosomal RNA is filed under the name uncultured bacterium. RNAcentral's name for it is "bacterial SSU rRNA". It matches the Rfam family "Bacterial small subunit ribosomal RNA", at positions 34 to 454 of the family's 1533-position model. The record is from RNAcentral.